Molecule: ribosomal RNA, 874 nt
Filed under: uncultured bacterium
Lineage: Bacteria
Description: bacterial SSU rRNA
Rfam family: Bacterial small subunit ribosomal RNA
Source: RNAcentral
UCCUACGGGAGGCAGCAGCUAAGAAUCUUCCGCAAUGGGGGCAACCCUGACGGAGCGACGCCGCGUGAAUGAAGAAGGCCGGAAGGUUGUAAAGUUCUUUUCUUAGUGAAGAAUAAAGAAGCGAGGAAAUGCGUUUAAGAUGACGUUAGCUAAGGAAUAAGCCCCGGCUAAUUACGUGCCAGCAGCCGCGGUAACACGUAAGGGGCGAGCGUUGUUCGGAAUUAUUGGGCGUAAAGGGCGCGUAGGCGGCUUGGCAAGCCUGGUGUUAAAAACAACGGCUUAACCGUUGGUAAGCGCUGGGAACUGCCUGGCUAGAGGUCUGGAGGGGGAGCUGGAAUCCCUGGUGUAGGGGUGAAAUCUGUAGAUAUCAGGAAGAACACCGGUGGCGAAGGCGAGCUCCUGGCCGGACUCUGACGCUGAGGCGCGAAAGCGUGGGGAGCGAACAGGAUUAGAUACCCUGGUAGUCCACGCUGUAAACGAUGUGCACUAGGUGUCUGUCUGUAGAGGAUGGGUGCCGAAGCAAACGCGAUAAGUGCACCGCCUGGGGAGUAUGCUCGCAAGGGUGAAACUCAAAGGAAUUGACGGGAGCCCGCACAAGCGGUGGAGCAUGUGGUUUAAUUCGAUGAUACGCGAGGAACCUUACCAGGGCUUGACAUAUACAGUGAGGCGUGUGAGAGCAGCUGCCACUUUUGUGGACUGUAUACAGGUGCUGCAUGGUUGUCGUCAGCUCGUGCUGUGAAGUGUUGGGUUAAGUCCCGCAACGAGCGCAACCCCUGCUGUCUGUUGCUACCAGGUAAGCUGAGACUCAGCGUACUGCCGGUGACAAACCGGGAGGAAGGGUGGGGAACGAACGUUCAAUUCAUUCAUGUGCCCC